RNAcentral lists this long non-coding RNA (18145 nucleotides) under Jatropha curcas. RNAcentral describes it as "long non-coding RNA (JCUR_LNC001845)". Lineage: Eukaryota; Viridiplantae; Streptophyta; Magnoliopsida; Malpighiales; Euphorbiaceae. The record is from RNAcentral.
GAAGAGAGAGCUUAUGCCAACUCCUCGUAUUAUGGGCGAUAUGAUGGUUCUUGCAACCGGUGAAGUCCUUAUCCUUAAUGGUGCUAAAAGAGGAGCUUCUGGUUGGGGUUUUGCUCGCGAACCUAAUUUUACUCCAGUUUUGUAUAGCCCAACUGCUGAUAGAGGAGCAAGAUUCACUGAGCUAGCACCAUCCACCAUACCCAGAAUGUACCAUUCAACCUCCACGGUUUUACCUGACGGAAAAAUCCUUGUCGCUGGUAGCAACACAAACAAUGGAUAUAUUUAUGAUGCUAUGUACCCUACUGAGCUGCGUGUGGAGAAAUACUCACCACCUUACUUAAACGCUGCCGUUAUACAGAAAAGACCAGAGAUUGUGACCUUCAAUGAGCAAAUGACUUAUGCUCAGAAUAUUGAUAUUGAAGCCAAGAUAGCAGGUGACAAAGUGCAAAAGCAAAAUGUGUGUGUUACUAUGUACUCUCCUGCUUUUACUACUCAUGGAGUUAAUAUGAAUCAAAGGCUUAUCGUGUUGGGAGUAAAAGAGGUCAUCCCUGCCAAUGGAAACUUCAAAAUUUCCGCCACUGCACCAAUUUCUAACGCCGUUGCUCCUGUCGGAUAUUAUAUGCUCUCGGUUAUUUUUGAGGGAGUACCUAGCAUUACCAAAUGGGUUCAGAUCAAGUGAAAUAAUUCUUCACGAGAAUUCUUUUUGAAAUUUUGUAUUAAUUGUUUUGGUAAUAUUUUAUUCUUUUAUUAUGUUAGUAUUUUGAAAUAUUUAUCUUCUUUGAUUUAAUAAAAACAAAUUUUGAUAUUAUUUCCCAUCUUUAGUUGUCUGCGCCACAUAUUCUUCUAUUUAACUUUAUUAUUAAGGUAUUCUUUUAUUGCCAUUGAAUUAUUUUUAUUAUUGAUUUUAGUUUUUUUUUUUAAAUUUUGGUUCUAGGGUUGAUUUUAAUUCUAGGUUUGAUUUUAAUUUUAGAUUUGAUUUUCAUUUUAUGAAUUACAUAAAAAUUCACAUAAAUAUUAAAAUAUACAAUAGUAUUAUAAAUUUAUAAUUCAAUUAUUUAUUAUUGGUAAUAUGUUUAAAAUUUAACAACUUAAAAAAUUUUAGAAUUCUAAAUCUAUUGAAAACAAAAUAUAAUAUUUAAUCUAUCCCAAAAGAUGAACUUAACAUUAUAACUCAUGGUUCUAUUUUAAUAUUUUUUAAAAAAUUAUAUGAAAUUAAAUUGAUUUAAUCUUUUUAUUCAAAGCUGAUUUUUUUUUUUUACUGUAAAUGAGAGUAUACAAUGUAUUUUCCAAAUUUAAUUUGUUUGACUAAAAUUUACGACCAUCUAGAAAAUAUUUUUAAUAAUAAUAUUGUUAAAAUUUAAAAAUUAAAGAAAUAUAAUCUAAAUAAAAUUAUUAAACAAAUUUUAUAUUUAAAUAAUUUAAAAUUUUUGAAAUUAAUAAUAAUUUAAUCUUUAUGAUGUUGUUUUAAAAGUUUUAACUUUAUGAAAUGCUAAUCAUGCAUGCAUAAUACUCAUAUGGCAUCGUAUGAAAUGAUGAAUUUUCGAACUUCAUAAGAAAAAAUUUUUGGUCCGUGACUGUUUGUUAUGUUCUAAUAAUAGUGUUGUUUGGCCAUUGUUAAUCGAUUAACAGUUUUCCUUCUAUCAUAUAUAGGGACAGAUUACAGUGCAUGAUGUUAAUAAUUCUGCACCCAUAGGAAAUAAUUAAUUGCCAUUAGAUUUUAUUGUUUAAAAUCUAGCCAUUCGAUGCUAGAAUAAGAGAAAAACCAACUACCUCUUGUAUAGGUAAAAGAAAUUCCUAUUUAGUUUAAAAAUAAAAAUGAUUGCUUAAUUACUAUUAAAUAUUUAUUUAUUAACCCAAAAUCAAUUUCAUCAACUUUAUUUUUUGAAGGCCUACUUUUAUUUGUAUAGAAAAAAUUUAAAUCACAUAUAUAUAAAUUUUUAUAAAUUUAUAUCAUUAAAUAUUUUUUUUUAUUCUCCUAAUGAAUAUAUUAUUAUUAACCGGUUAAUUUUAUUAUAUUAAAUAUUUAUAUUAAUAAUUCAUUAUUAGCUAUUAACUUUUAUAAAAGUAAUUGUGUUAUCUUAUUAAAUUUAAUAUUUUAAUUUACACAUCAUUUACUUUAUCUCAUUUAAUUAUUUUUUUAAAUUCUCCUUUACUUAAUUUAUAAUAUUAUAAUAAAUAUUUAUGAACUAACGAACGUGGUUAAAUUCUUUUCUUACUUAUGAGAAUGUUGUUAAAAUUAUUAAAAUAAAUAAAAAUUAAUUUAUAAAAAAUAUUUUCUAUCCAAAUGAAAUUGAAAAAAUAUAUAAUUAAAAACAAUGAUAUGUAUUUUUUUGAACAGUAAUUUUAAAAAAUAUUUUUUAUAUUAAAAGAAGAAAAAUAAAAAUUUACAAAGAAUAAAAAAACACUUACGAUUAGAUUGGAUGAAAGGAGGAAGGAAUCGUUAAAGUAAGCUAUAAUAUGGUACGAAAAAGCACGAUAAAUGUCUUUUUUAUAUUUGUGGAGAAAGUAUGAUAAAUGAAUAUUUAAUAUCAUUGUUUUAUUUAGUUUGAUAACAGAGGAAUAAAAUGUUAAAUAUAAAUGUUACAAAAAUACCUUUGUCAUGAAAGAUUUAUAAAUAUAAUUAUGAAUAGUUUUAAAAAUUAAAAUUUUUAACUAUAUUUACACUUCAAUUCAGGGUGUUAGAAAAUUGGAGUAUUUAAAUGAAUUUUCAACCUCUCAAAUAACUUUUUAACUCUCUAUCAAAUAAUCUUCAUACAAAUAAUCUCUUAUAUAACUAAUGGGAUGUACCUGCUAUAGUAAGUUAGGAUGCUAAAUGACAAAAAAUUAUAGUUUUUCUGUCAAUACAGUAGUAAAAGCCUCGUGUAUAAUUGCUUUCGAGGAAUAUUUUUGAAAAAAAACACGCGGUCGUCGAACGGCUUAAAAAGAGAUUGCAAUUUACACGUAAGUUAAGUAACGACGUCGUUAGAGAGUCAAAUAAGUAUGUUCAUCUCUUGCCUUUGGUUCCAGGCAAAUACGCAGAAUUUGCGCGGAGCUGAUAUGGUAAUGAUCAGAGUUAUUGCUUUUAAACUCCAAACAGACACAGAUCAAAAUAUUGAUCUUUCAAUUACGUUUUAAUUAAAAAAGUUUUGUGACACGAAAAUUGUAAGGUGAAUAUCGCCUGGAACACAAAAUAGCACUCUGUACUAUAACAGGAUAGCUAAAUUAGGGAGAAAAUGGAAGCAUUAUAUACAAUCACGUAAUACAGAGCCAAACAACAAAUACAAUAAAACCCUUAUCCAACAACCAACCCAAUCCGGUUCUCUUCCCCUAAAAGCAUCCGAAAAUAGCUGUAGCAGCAAAAGGUCUCGCGUUUAUAAUGGGAACAUCCAGAGAUAUCAUCGGUCGCUCAGGAGAGCGAGGAAAGUAGCGGAAGCUGAGAGAUUGAGCAAGUUUUUAAGUGGAGAUUAGUUUUUCGUGAAGCUUUGGUGGGUUUACGGAAGAGGAGGAGAAUUGGAUCAAUGGCUGUUCGCUAAAUAAGGAACGACUUCUCUGUUUUAUCGCAUCCUACUAACAACUUCUUGUACCUAUAAAAGGCGUUAACACAGAAGGGAAAAGCAAUAAUCAGGGAGAAGAAGAAAAAUAAAAAAACAAAAAAAAAAUUAAAAAAGAAAAAAAGAGAGAAAAAAAAUAUUUUUGUAUAGCAAUGGCGAUAAUUUUCAAAAUUUUGUUACUUCUCUCUGUGUUGUUUGUUUCUGGUUAUGCUCAUGAAGAUGCUCAUGCAGUUCCCCAUGGAAAUGCUCAUGAAGUUCCCCAUGGAAAUGCUCAUGCAGUUCCCCAUGGAAAUGCUCAUGCAGCUGCUCCUCCUGGAGAGGAGUUGGAGAACUUGUGGGUAGAGAAAGACGCUUAUAAAAUUUUCAACCAGGAACAAGUAUUAGGUCCUCAUGAAAUGUUCGGAAAUCCUUUUGGUAAUCCGAACGAUUUCAAGGCGAACAAAAUACCUAACGAUUUUGGUACUCCAAUAAAGGGUGAUGAUGUGGCCGAAAUAACAGCCGAUGCAGUUGCUGCGGCACCGGCUGCUGCUGCUACUGGUAUCACUGCUACAGAUGAUGGUGGCGGUGCUAAAGGUGAAGCUGGCGCUGCUGGUGCUGUCGCUGGUAAUGCUAAAGCUGGUGGUGCGGCUUCUGUUGUUCCUAUGCCAGUUGAACUGGGAUACAAAGGGGAAUGGGAACUUGUCUCUGAAAAUUCUGGCGUCUCGUCUAUGCAUGCAAUAUUGCUUCCUAAAAUUGACAAGGUUUUGAUGUAUGAUGCUACCAUUUGGAAAAUUUCAAAAAUUGAAUUGCCUAAUGGAAAAUGUCGUGUUCUUGACCAAGCCACCGGUGAGAAAGAUUGUUGGUGCCAUUCUGUCUUAUAUGAUAUUAAGGACGGAAAACUUACCCCUCUCGAGGUACUAAUUAAUUAAUUAAUUUGAUGUUUCAUUUUAAUAACUAUUUAUUAAUUUCCCAUUUCAUAAUUCUAUUAUUUCUUGGCUGCAGCUCAAUACCGAUACCUGGUGCUCAUCAGGAGGUCUUGAUAUUGAAGGCAACUUGGUAAGCACCGGAGGAUUUCAAGGAGGUGCAAAUACUGUCAGGUACCUUGGCACUGCUGAAGGCAGCGAUUGGAGAGAGUAUCCAACUGCUCUUGCGGAUCGUAGAUGGUAUUUGAAUACAACUCUAGUACUUUGGGGCCAAAAGACCCAUAAAACAUAUAUCUAGAAAAACAAAACUAUGCUUAAUUUUUUAUAAUUUUUUUGUUAUUUCAGGUACUCGACACAGGCAACAUUGCCAGAUGGUGCAUUUAUCGUCGUAGGUGGCCGUGAUGCCUUUAGCUACGAGUAUAUUCCUAAGGAAGGGCAAUCCAAUCCCAAACCUUUCUUCUUUGAAUUCCUCCGCCAAACCAGUGAUCCAGAAGAAAACAAUCUGUACCCAUUUGUCUACUUAUCCACUGAUGGCAAUGUGUUCAUCUUUGCCAACAGUCGCUCUGUCUUGCUCAGCCCUACUACCAACCAAAUUGUCAAAGAAUUCCCAGAACUUCUUGGUGGUUCCCGUAGCUAUCCCGCUAGUGGAGCCUCCGUGCUCCUCCCAAUCAAAAUCCAUUCCCAGGAUCCCAAAGAGACUCUUCCAGCUGAAGUCUUGAUUUGCGGUGGCUCUGCACAUAAAGUUUCAUAUUCCAAAGCCGAAAAACAAAUCUUCUACGAAGCGCUUGAAGAUUGUGGAAGAAUGAGAAUCACAGCUAAAAAUCCUGUUUGGAAGAGAGAGCUUAUGCCAACUCCUCGUAUUAUGGGCGAUAUGAUGAUUCUUCCAACUGGUGAAGUCCUUAUCGUAAAUGGUGCUAAAAGAGGAGCUUCUGGUUGGGGUUUUGCUCGCGAACCUAAUUUCACUCCAGUUUUGUAUAGCCCAAGAGCUAAAAGAGGAACAAGAUUUACUGCACUAGCACCAUCCACCAUACCCAGAAUGUACCAUUCAACCUCCACUGUUUUACCUGACGGAAAAGUCCUUAUCGCCGGUAGCAACACAAACAAUGGAUAUAUUUACGAUGCUAUGUACCCUACUGAGUUGCGUGUGGAGAAAUACUCACCACCUUACUUAAACGCCGCCGUUAUACAGAAGAGACCAGAGAUUGUGACCUUCAAUGAGAAAAUGACUUAUGCUCAGAAUAUUGAUAUUGAAGUCAAGAUAGCUGGUGGCAAAGUGGAACAGGGAGAUGUGAAAGUUACUAUGUAUUCUCCUGCUUUUACUACUCAUGGAAUUAACAUGAAUCAAAGACUUAUCCAGUUGGGAUUGAGAGAGGUCGUUCCUGCCAAUGGAAACUUCAAAGUCGGAGCCAUUUCACCAAUUUCUAAUAAAGUUGCUCCCGUGGGGUAUUAUAUGCUCUCGGUUGUUUUCCAGGGAGUACCUAGCAUUACCAAAUGGGUUCAGAUCAAGUGAAAUAAUUCUGCAUGAGGAUUUUCUUCAUUGAAAUUUCGUUAUAAUUGUUUUUAUCGUAUAUUAUUCUUUUAUUAUGUUAUGUUAUUCUGUAAUCUGCAUCUUCUUUGAUUAUAAUAAAAACAAGUUUUGCUUGAUAAUUCUCAUCUUCAGCAAUUAGUGCCUCAUAUUCUUUAAUUUAAGUACUUCAUAAUUUUUAAUUACCUAUUUGAAAGAUUUAUUAGGCCAUUAUGAUCCAUUUAUCUAAUAAUUAACAAAGUAUUUUCAAGAAAGUUUUUUUCUUUAUCAUAUUUUUCAGCCAACUUGCUUUUUCUUUUUGUUUUUUUUAUUAGUAAUGGUCCCUCGUUAAAGAAAUUGUUUUUUAUCCUCUUCGCAAUAACUCUAAGAAAUUGAUUAGUAAAGUGUUUUCAAGAAAGUUUUUGUGAUUAGCGAUGUGUUUUUUCUUAACAGUUUUCCUUCUAUCAUAUGUCAAUAAUCCUUACCUUUUAUAACAAAUAAUUGAAAUUAACAUUUUCUAGAAAAUAAAAAAAAAUGCAAAGAUGCAAACGAGGGUCUCCCUAGCUUGCGAGUUGGAUAGUCUCGCCUGAGUGUCGAGUUUUGCAUUGUUUUAUCAUAGCUUCUAGUACAUCUCGAUCCUCUGAUAUUCAUCAGAGGCUGGUUCGACUUUCAAUCAGAGAGGAGGAAGAGGGAGGUUUGGAAGUGGAUGAGAAUGGUGUGGACAACGAACAAUCUAAACCUGACUACACACUGGUAGGAAGGUUCCCAACUGAUAGAAACAUGAACUUUCUUGCAAUGAAACAAACCCUGGCUUCCCUUUGGAAACUGGUCAUGGCAUCAACAUUAGGGAGGUUUCAAAGGACCUAUUUCUCUUUCAGUUCCUAGACGCCAUUAACAUGAAUAGAGUUGUGGAAAUGAGCCCCUAGACAUUUGAUCAACAUCUUCUCCUAUUUGAAACUCUGGGGUUAGAUGAACAAUCGCAUAAUGUGUCACGCCCGACUCUAAUCACUAGAGGAAUUGUCCGCUUUGGAUCAAGUCAAAUCCCCAUAUAAGAUUGGCAAGACCCGCACGGUUUUAUCUCGUAGGUGAAAUGAGAAACUUUCCAGGAGGUCACCCAUCUUAGGAUUUCUGUCAACUCUAAUCACUAGAGGAAUUGUCCGCUUUGGAUCAAGCCAAAUCCCCCAUAUAAGAUUGGCAAGACCUGCACGGUUUUGUCUCGUAGGUGAAAUGAGAAACCUACCAGGAGGUCAUCCAUCUUAGGAUUUCUGUUAAGCGAGCACGCUUAACCCUGGAGUUCUUCCAACUCUCCAGCCAUUCCACCAAAAGGCGCCUCUAAUGAUUAGUUUCCAUCUUUUCGAUAUUUGAUUUGAUUCAUUCAUGUGUCCCGCAUUCCACUACCCUAGCUAGCCUGCCAUCCUAGAAGCUAGCCAGGACCUUUGCUUUACCCGCCCUCUUAGGAUCGCUUUGCCAGGUCGGGAUGUCACAUAAUGUAUAGUUGUUCUGCACUCACAUCUGGCUAUAGGUUCAUGAUAUUCCUAACGUGUUUAUAAUACCAAAAGUGGCUCAAUGCAUAGGUAACUAUGUUGGGGAAUUAAUAAGUGCUAAUGAGUCUAACUUCUCAUGCUUGUGGCAACGAUUCAUACGGAUUCGCAUUCUAAUUGAUACACGAAUCCCCCUUAAACGGAGAAUAGGUAUUAGAAAACCUAGAGGAACAUGGUUAUGGUUGAAUUUCAAGUAUGAGCGGCUUCCUAAUUUUUAUUUUACCUGUGAAAUCAUCGGUCAUUCAAAGCAGUUUUGCAAUUAAUGGGCAGAGCAGUUAGGGUCUUCUUCUAAACGCCUAUUUGAACCUGAAUUCUGUGCUAAUUUUGACCAAAAUCAGUUGCCAGCCAGCGAUCAAUGGCUGUUUAUGGACUUUCCAUUGGUUGGUGUGCGGGUGGGUAGUUGUCCGAUAAGGGGCAGGAAAGUUGAGCAUGGGGAGCGGUUACAUUUUUCACCAACCACCUCCUCAACAAAAGUAGGGAGACGUGGGAAGCAAGUGGCUAUUGGUAAAAAGAAAGCAGUUAUGGCUUGUGAUCAGGAGCAGUUUCAUUUAGGUCGUAGCAACCUUCUUGGACCUCAUCUUACUAAUAUUGGGCCCACACACCUUGAUAAUGGGCUUAUGGUUUCCGAUUGUAAGCGUAGGAGAUAUGAGGAGGGGCAAGCCCAAUCAGCGGAUGUGGAUGAUAUGGUUGUUGCAAACUCGGCUGACUUGUCUGUUGUUCUAGUCCCGAUGGUCCUGGGGUCCAGGCCAACCGAGCAUUAUGAGUACUCUAUGUUGGAACUGUCGUGGGUGGGCAACCCACGCACAGUUCCAGUCCUUAAAGACAUGCUCUGUACAUACAAGCCUGCUUUUAUUUUCUUGAUUGAAACUAAAAUUAGUAAAUCUAAAGUUGAAGUUAUUUGUAAGGCCCUCGGCUUUGAGGGUUGAUUUUUUGUUGAUUGUAGAGGCUUAAGCAGUGGCUUGGCUCUUUUAUGGAAGAAUAAAAACACUACACAGCUCAUAAGUUAAUCUCGUUAUCAUAUAGACGUUUCAGUCCAUCUUCCUGAUCAAAUUGAAUGUGGCUUAUAGGAUUCUACGGGCAACCAGAUAGAAGUCGAAGAAAAGAGUCUUGGGAUUUGUUGAAGAUGCUAAAAUAUAAAUCAGCCUUACCUUGGUGUUGUAUGGGGGACUUCAAUGAUUUGUUAAGCAACUCGGAGAAGAGAGGUACUCACCCCCACCUGCAAUGAUUGUUAGAUGGAUUUCGAAAUGCUAUUCAAUCUAGCGGUUUGCAUGAUAUGGGAAUGUCUGGUUAUGAUUUCACCUAGGAGAAGGCUAGAGGGACAACGAUAUGGGUUAAGGAAAGGCUUGACCGCGUGUUAGCCUCUUCUUCUUGGCUAAACCAUUUUCCUAACUGGCAUGUUUUAAAUCUCCCGAUGAUCGCCUCAGAUCACUCCCCCCGCUUUUGAAGUCUAUAAUAGUUUGUUUGAGUUCCAGUUCGUGGCAUUUUCGCUUCGAAAAUCAAUGGUUUGGCGAACCAGAAUGUACUGCUCUAGUGGAACGCCUUUGGUAUUUACAUACUCAUCUUUUGGUCGUGGAAAAAAUUAGGGAGUGCGGUAAGUAGCUUGCCGAGUGGGGUGGAGGCUUUCUUAAAAUGAAACGCCUGCAGUUGGUUCAAUUGAAAAGAAGAAUGGAUUCUGACAGCUUAUUUUGCAAGUGUACGAAUCGCUACAAGUAAUAUAUGAUGAGUAAGAUAUCGUUCCCACAAGGAUUGUAAACCAAGUACCAAAAUUGUGUUAUCUUGUUAUUAUUUAAACGAUAAUUAAGAGAUUUGUUGUCUAAAUGUAAAAUAAACAGGAGUCAAGUAAACAAAAAUUGAUUAAAAGAAAUCAAGAAAGUAAAGCUACUAGGGGUUUUGAUUUCACUUAACUCUAUCCAAUUUAUUUCAUUAGUUCAUUGAUCAAUUUAAUUAUUCAAGUAGGGGAAACAACCCAAAAAUCACUAACAAGCUCUCCCGAUGUAUUGUUAGCUAUUUUAACCCGGUCUAAUUACCUAUCUUCCAAGAGCGCAAUCAAACAUGAAUUAAAUCAUUAAGUUUUAUGAUUUGUUUUGUGAAUUCAUAACCUAAGGUCAUUAACUUAUGAAAACCCCCCAUGAGUCAAACCGUAUAGCUUCCGCAUCAAGUUAUUAUUCCCGUGUUAUUUAUUACCUUUUUUAUAUCAAAAACACUUCUUCCGAUAGUAAUUAAUGAAAUAAAUCAAUCCAAGGAGAAACUCUAUCUUGAAGCAUCAAGUUAAAUAAUAAAUUAUACUUUGAACAAGGAAAAACAAAUCCAAUAUUAUAAAUUGGAAUAGAAAUUAAGCUACAUCAAAUCUCUAGUAUGAGAGUUUAGUUCGACAUAGUAAUCAAAUAAAACUCAAUUAAACUUGAAAAUAAUUCUAUAAUCAAUAUGAAUGAUGAAAAGUAAAAAAAAAGAUUAAGAGUUUAGAGAUAAAAACUGGUUAACAAAUAACGUGGACGACUUCCUUGAAUCUUGACACAAAUCUUGANNNNNNNNNNNNNNNNNNNNNNNNNNNNNNNNNNNNNNNNNNNNNNNNNNNNNNNNNNNNNNNNNNNNNNNNNNNNNNNNNNNNNNNNNNNNNNNNNNNNNNNNNNNNNNNNNNNNNNNNNNNNNNNNNNNNNNNNNNNNNNNNNNNNNNNNNNNNNNNNNNNNNNNNNNNNNNNNNNNNNNNNNNNNNUAAAAUAUAGAAUUCUUGCUUGCACGGGCGUGUUGCUUGGCACGGCUUGGAGCGUGCCAGUCUUUGGAGGAUUAGAGGCUCUAGCACGGGCCGUGUUCCGUAGCAUGGCCUGGCAAGCUAGCGCGCACGGGCGUGCACGGCCUGGGCAAGCUAGCGCGCACGGGCGUGUUCCGCAGCACGGCCUGGGCAAGCUAGCGCGCACGGGCGUGUUCCGCAGCACGGCCUGGGCAAGCUAGCGCGCACGGGCGUGUUCCGCAGCACGGCCUGGGCAAGCUAGCGCGCACGGGCGUGUUCCGCAGCACGGCCUGGGCAAGCUAGCGCGCACGGGCGUGUUCCUCGGCACGGCUUGGGGCGUGCAUCUCUCUGUUUCUUAGUUUGUCUCGCCUUGUGCCAGACACGGCCGUGCUUCUCGACACGGGCUGGGACGUGCCAAUUGUACCUUGCUUUAUUUUUGUUCUUUUCUUUGCAAAAAUCCUACAAUUUUCUUUCCAAUCAAGUGAGUUGUGAUUAAAAGAAGCUUUUGAAUAAAAACACAGCAAUAUUACAUAAAAACCAAUUUAAAUAAAUUAAAAGUAAUAAAAAUUUCAAUCAAAAUUACAAUAAAAACACUAUAAAAAUCAACACUAUCAGAUUCCCUCUGGAAAAAAAGGACCUGCUCUCACUAGCUCAAUAUGAUGAAGUUUCUGGCCUUUAUGAGAAAAGCCUGAAGGAGAUGGAGUUGUAUUGGAAGCAUUUUGGUUACAGGGACUGUAGUCAAAUUAUAAGUUUUUUCAUGCUCAGGCCUCCUCUAGGCGCAAGAAAAAACAAGUCCUAAAAUCACAAAAUGAUGAUGGUGUCUGGAUGGAGAAAGGAAGAGGGCUGGAGGAGCUGAUAGUGUCUUAUUUUUCUAAGUUAUUCUCUUCCUCUGAUUGUGAAGGGUCGGUGGUAUUUUCUUGUGUGUAGCCUCUAGUUUCGGAUUCUCAUAAUCAAUUACUGAAUGCACCAUUUGUGGCAGAUAAGGUGAAAGAAGCUAUCUUUUCCAUGUUUCCAGAUAAGUCCCCUAGGCUGGGUGGUAUGAACCCAGGAUUUUUUCAAAAGCACUAGCAUAUAGUUGGACAAGAUGUAAUAGAGGCUUGUAUUCAUUAUCUCAAUGCAGGACAGUUUCCCCUCAGUUUGAACGAGACUCAUAUUGUGUUCAUCCCGAAGAAAAAAGAUCCCUAGUCUAUGGCUGACCUCCGUCCCAUUUCACUUUGCAACGUCCUCUACAAGGUCAUUGCUAAAGUCCUCGCCAACAAGUUGAAACUACUUCUUCUAGAUAUUAUCUCUCCAAAUCAAAGUGCCUUUGUCCCAUGUCGCUUAAUCUCUGAUAAUAUCAUGGUGGCUUAUGAGGUUAUUCACUAUCUCAAACGGAAGUGACAAGGUUCUUCUGGCAUGGCAGCGCUCAAGAUUGAUAUGAGCAAAACCUAUAUUAUCGAAUUGAAUGGGAGCUUCUUCGUGGUAUGAUGGAGAGAUGGGAUUUUGCAGGCCUUGGAUUGAUAAAAUUAUGCUUUGUAUCACUUCUGUUUGAUACUCAAUAUUACAAGAAGGGGAGGUUUUAGGUCCUAUUUUACUAAGAAGGGGAUUGAGACAAGGGUGUCCCUUAUCUCCUUAUUUAUUCAUAAUGUGCAUUGAAGGACUUUCUCUUUUGCUUCAAGAUAGAGAACGCCAUGGCCUAAUUACCGGAAUAUGUGUAGCUAAAGGAGCGCCUUCUAUAAGUCAUUUGUUCUUUGCUGAUGAUAGCCUCCUCUUUUCAACGCUGAAGAAUCGAUCUGUACUCAGUUAAAGGAGUGCCUAGCUUCCUACGAAAAGGCAUCAGGUCAAACUAUUAGCUUCCAAAAAUCUUUCAUUGCUUUCAGCGGAAACACGUGUCACGACGUGAAGGGCCGUAUUUAGGGGAUUUUGCAGGUGGGAGAAUCCUCUGAUUUGGGAUAUUAUCUGGGCUUGCCUUCCAUGGUGGGGAGAAAUAAAAAAGAGGUUUUUUCUUUCCUGAAGGACAAAAUAUGGAGAAGGAUACAAGGAUGGAGGAAAAUGCUCUUGUCUCGGGCAGGGAAAGAUGUGCUCCUUAAAUCUGUAAUUCAAGCACUUCCCACUUACACCAUGAGUAUUAAGGUAUUAAGGUUUUCUCUUUCCUCACCUAUUGUUAGCAUUGGAUGGGUAUUAAGGGAUGAGAGUUGUCUUAUGUUGAAGGCUUGCCAGGUAGAUCUUUGCGGAGGCUUUGAUCUUCUUGUUGCUAAAGCGCUUUCCUUUCGAGAGGUACUAAGCUGGACCAAGCGGAAUGGGUUCCAACGAGUUCAAUUUGAAACUAACUCUCUCUCUCUCUUGUUCAGUAUAUACAAUGUAGCAAAGCAAAUUCAUCUUAUUUUGGUUGUCCAGUUUUGGAUUGUAAAGCUAUGCUUAAAGAAGUUCCCUUAUGUUCUGUGUCUUUUUGUUCGAAGAUCAGCGAAUAGAGUUGCUCAUCUCCUUGCAACUCAUGCAUAUUCCAUGCUGAUCUGGAGAAGUGGAGUCACAUCCCUCCUAUUAUUGUUGACUCUUUGUUAGAUGAUUUGCUUUAAUGAAAUCUCCAGUUUUAAGUUUCAAAAAUAUCAAUAACCCUCUACUAGUAAGAGUAAUUGAUUUAUAAGAAUUAUGCAAUCAUUAUAAGUUUGAAUUCUCUAAAAAGAAAUUAUAGAAUUAGAGUUUCCUGUAGGAAAUGCGAAGCUCGGACUUUUAAAUGCUCCAGAAAUCUCAUCGGCAGGCAAGCACGUUCCUAUCACAGCUGGCCCAGCACUUCAUUAGUCUCGCGCACGACAUUUAUCCUUAGUCCUACUGCAACCGCGUCCCAGCUGCGCGAAACCCAUUACAGAAAAACCUUCAUUUCUCAUACUCGUGGCAUAACGUUCGCAAGAGACAUUGAACAUUAGACGCAGCGUUGAGCGUUUUAUACAUAUAAAAAAUCAGUUCAUGAACUCUUCAAACUCUAUAAUGUCUACAUUUUAUAAACAAAGAUGGUUGAAGUAGUGAUGUUACAGAUGAACAUUUUAUGAAUGUCACAACAUGAAAUGGUCAACGUAUUUGAGACUAAAUAAAUCAAUAAAUAUAUUAUGAAACGAGUUCAUCUUAGCAAGGCAUUUUUGCUAGCUACAAGCUAUAUGAAGCGAUCACAGGACUAGAACCAAAGCAUCACUUUUCAACUCCAGGAUUUUGGCAGAACCAGAGAAGAAAAUCUGGCAUUUGAAUUAAAAUGGCAGGGACAAAAAUUCUGUUGAUAGCUCUAUUUAUCUUUAUAAUAGCAUUCUAUCUGAUUCCAGUUAACGCCAAUUUCCGCAAGAGCAUGUAUUUCUAUUGGGGUGCUGAGCAUUCUGCGAUUCUUGGCAAUGGUGAUGAGCUUCAACUUGUUUUGGAUCAAACAUCAGGUAAUUAAUAACAUCGCAUCAGUCAUUCAUUCAACUACAUGUCGGACUGAAUCUUCAAUACUUAGGUUCCCUGAAAUUCGCACAAUGAGGUAAUCUAAUCAUAAUUACUCUGGAUUUCAGGUUCUGGCAUUAAAUCAAAGCGAUCAUUCUUGUUCGGAAGCAUUCAAAUGUUGAUCAAGUUGGUACCUGGAAACUCAGCUGGAACAGUCAAUGCCUACUAUGUAAGUGCAAUGAUUUAACUGACAUACAGGGCCCUGCAAAACAUAAACAUUGCACCUCAUUUUUCCAGGCUUUAAAUUUUGUUUUUUCCAUUAUAAUUUGGUCGUUUAAAGACACAUAAGUGAAACAUCAAUAGGCAAUUGCACGUGAAACAUUUUGCUGCAAGUGAAAUGUCAAUAGGCAUUCGCAAACGCUAUAGCCAGAGCAUGAACAUGCAAGUUUUGUGAAGCACUUAACAAUUUUUGCGAAUUUUUGCAGGUAUCUUCUGCUGGGGACAAACAUGAUGAGAUAGACUUCGAAUUUUUAGGGAAUGUCUCAGGCCAACCAUACAUCAUCCACACAAAUAUCUAUCUGCAAGGAAAUGGAAGCAAGGAACAGCAGUUCUACCCUUGGUUCGACCCAACUGCAGAUUUCCACAACUAUACAAUUCAUUGGAACCCUACUGCAGUAGUGUAAGUUAGCAGACUAUGUCGCUAACUUGCUUGCGCUAUAAAUUCAUUCUCAUUAACUCAUAUAAUUCAUACUUAAUCUAGAAGCCAAAUGAUACCUGACAUAAGCCAAAUGAUACCUGACAUUAAGAUUCAUCACUGCAAUUUUUCAGGUGGUACGUUGACGGCAUACCAAUACGUGUUUUCCGCAAUUAUGAGGAGGAGGGAAUUGCUUAUCCAAACAAACAAGGGAUGCGAGUUUACUCCAGCUUAUGGAAUGCAGACAACUGGGCAACUAAAGGCGGGUUAGUUAAGAUUGAUUGGAAUAGUGCACCAUUCAUAGCAACACAUCGCACUUUCAGGGCAAGAGCUUGCAAGUGGAAUGGACCGGUCAGCAUAAUUGAAUGUGCUUCCAACACUCCUGCUAACUGGUGGACAUCACCAACAUACAGCCAGUUGAGUUAUGGCAAGCAGGGUCAAAUGAAGUGGGUGAGAGAUAACUACAUGAUUUAUGAUUACUGCAAGGAUAUUAAGCGGUUCAAUGGACAGAUACCAGCGGAAUGUUUUAAACUACAGUUCUGAAAUUAAGGGUCCCGGUGUGUUUUCUAGAAGAAGACCAAUGAUACAAAAGCUCCAGUUUUUUUCUCCUACUAUCUGCAUACAACUGGGAAAUAAAUUUUGUCACGGUUUUGUGUUUAUUUCAUUUUCUCUUUUGUGAUUCAGGGUUGUUUUCAUUCAGUUAUAAAGAGAUCGAAUAUAUAUAACGCUUGAAAAAAAAAAGAAAGAAAGAAUACAAUCUUUGAUAUGCUUAUAUUGAUAAAAGUGUCAAAACCCUCAAACAGGGCAAUAUAAUCUUUAACAAUAACAAAUUAAGCAUAUCAGAACUCCUAAGCCAACAUUAAAACUAAAGCAAAUGAAGUGAGUAAUAUCUCAUUUCAAUGAGAAGCAAACAGUUAUAACAGGAUAGAUAAAUUAGGGGGAAAAUGCAGCACUAUAUAUAAUCACGUAAUACAAAGCCAAACACCAAUUAAAAUAAAAGCCGUACCCAACAAAGCCAACUCAAUCCGGGUCUCUUCCCCUAAUAGCAUCCCGAAAACAGCUGUAGCAGCAAAAGUUGUCGCGUUUGUAACGGGAACAGCCAGAGAUAUCGGCGCAUCGCUCAGGAGAGCGAAGAAAGUAGCGGAAGCUGAGAGAUUGAGCAAGAAAGGGACGGAGUAUUGCCAAAAUAAGAGAAGGCUGAGCAAUUUUUUAAGUGAAGAGAUCAGUUUUUGGUGAAGCUGUGGUGCGUGUACUGAAGAGGAGGAGAAUUUACCGGAUCGUUUGUCCCAGAGAAGUGCGCCACGGCGUAUUAAGGCGUUGGUCCCGCCCCAAAUUAGGCCCACCACCACCAUCUUUUCUAUAUCUCUUGCCAUCGUGGCCUGGUAGUGCGUCAGGAGUACGGUUGGAGGUGGAUCCGAUGUGGUGAUGGUUUUGGUGGAGUGGGAGUGCUAGGUAAACGACUUCGUUUGGCUAUUGCCGCGGCUAAUAUCAUUUGCUUUAAAUCCAUUUUGACUUUCGUGAAAACAGUUUCAGUAAAUCAUUAUAAAAAAAAAUAUUUGCCCACUAAUUAUGUACUCAUGUAAAAUUUGCGAGAAAUAAGUUUUUUUAAAAAAAAUAAUAGAACAGAUUUGAAGAUAAAUAUAAUUUUUAUAAGAUAAAAAUAAAUAUAAAGCGAUUCUAAUAUAUAAUUUUAAAAUAUUAUUGACAACAUAUUAAUAACAACAAUUCUAAAGUAAAUUAGACAUAAAUUUAGUAAAAAAAAGAAAACUAUUAAAUAUUAUUUUCAUAAAUAAAUUGGACCAAACUAAUAAUAGGAUUGAUUGUUCACAAAUCAUAAACCAAUUUGAAGUCAUUGUUACCUCGUUGUUUUGUGGUUUAGUAGGGAACUCCACUUUGGGCAUCUUAGGCAUAGCUGUACAUGAGUUCAUGAGCCCUCUUUGUGGGCCAUAGACCAUUGCAAAACUUAGCCACGAUCUCUCAGAACAUCCCUGAGCCCACCAACGCCUCUACUUGGCAAGCUAUUGGACAUAAUUAUUGCACAUAUAUACAAAUUUAAAGGCGGCUAUGAUUUGAAUCGUUUUAUAUAUAGAAAAAUGCGGCAAUUUUUAUUUAAUUAUUCAAUCUUACAAUAAUUUUCAAAUUUUAAUUACUUUCAGAUUAUUAAAUUAAUUUAUUAUUCUGAAAUUCAAAUGUUGACAUUGCUAGCCACUUCUUUCUGUAUUUAGUACUAAAAAUAUUAAAGACUAGAGUUUAAUUCAAUAUAAUUUGUUUAAAAUGUAUACUAAUAUGUUUACCAUGAAUAACUUUAACAUUGAACUUUUCAUAAAAAAAAAUUAUAACUUUUUAAAUUAAUAUUUAGAUGUUUUAUUAAAUUCAUUUACUUUUUACUUUAAAUUGAUGUUACAAAGUAAAAAUAAAAAAUUGAAAAAAUUGUUUAAUUUUGAUCUUGAAUAGAAAUUAAACCGAAAUGGAGAAUUAAAAAACAGUUAUAAGAACUGUGUGAGAGUGAUUUGAUUCCGAUUCUACCUUUUAUAUAAAACCGAAAUCUUGCAAUCAUGGUUCUAAGUUCUAACCAUAGUCAUGCUUAAAUGUACAUAUUGCAAUACCACGUAGAUUAGCGAGCCACCAAUCCUAUUUCUACAAACAUAAACCUUUCAUGCUUGCCAGUUAAAUAAAAUAAAUUGACAAUAAUACCCUUUUAAGAGGUAGUAAUUUCGCCUCCUCUUUAAUGGAUAGAACAAACUUACCAAGGAACAAAAACCAAACAACAGUACCCUUAAACCUGACAAGAUUGUUAGUGGUCAACACGUCAACGCAAUCUCACCUAACCCAAAUCCCAAAACUACCCUUAAAAAUUUCCCACUUUAUCCUCACCAAUCCGUAGCCACGUUUCCCUUUCUCUCUAUUGUCGUCUGUUGCCGAGUUCUUCUUCUGUGUGGUUUCAGUUUCCCAUGGAUUGUUGAACAGCCAAAGUCUCUUUCUCUUCCUCUUUCCAUUUUCAUUUCUUAGUAGAUCAUAAAAGAUCCUUAAAACACUAUAAGGCACUUUCUCUAUUUUCAUGCUCGUUAGAUUCGAUAGAGUACAUCGAUUUAUACUAGUAGAUUAAGAGCUGAUGGAGCGUAUCGUCGGCGGCAAGUACAAGCUUGGCCGGAAGAUCGGAAGUGGAUCCUUCGGUGAAAUCUAUCUCGGUUAGUUAUAGUUCUGAUUAUGUCUGUUCGUUUUUGCUGCUGAUUUGUUUUCAAUGAAUUUAUAUGUGUAUUUUUUUGUUUUUUUUUUUUUUUGCAGCUACACAUAUCGAUACGUUUGAGAUCGUCGCUGUUAAGAUUGUAAGUUUUUUUAUUAAUUGUUUUUUAAAUUUUAUUCAAUUUUUAGGUGUGUUAAACUGUUACAAGGAUCAUGAUUGGAUCAUGUACGCUACUGUAAUAGUUGAAUCACCGUGGAUAGGCUGGGGUUGACUUUUAGGUAUUUAGUUGAAUUGAAUUUGAUAUGAUUUCUUUGAGUGAUUUUGCAGGAGAACACUAAAACAAAGCAUCCGCAGUUGCUUUACGAAGCCAAGUUGUACAAUCUUCUUCAAGGAGGCAGUAAGUGGAAUUACUCGCCAUUGGCAUGAUUCCUUGUGGUUAGUAAUUAAGUUUGCUAAAUUCCGAGUUUAAUUUUGUAGGUGGUAUUCCCAGCAUAAAAUGGUCAGGUGUUGACGGGGAGGAGAAUAUACUGGUGCUUGAUUUGCUAGGGCCGAGCCUCGAGGACUUGUUUGUGUAUUGUGGGAGGAAGUUCUCGCUGAAGACGGUGUUGAUGUUGGCUGAUCAAAUGGUGAGUUCGGCUUGACACACUUAUUUCUUGCACUCAAAUGCUGAUAGCU